CUUUAUCGGAGAGUUUGAUCCUGGCUCAGGACGAACGCUGGCGGCGUGCCUAAUACAUGCAAGUCGAGCGGACAGAUGGGAGCUUGCUCCCUGAUGUUAGCGGCGGACGGGUGAGU
Molecule: ribosomal RNA, 116 nt
Filed under: Bacillus velezensis
Lineage: Bacteria; Bacillati; Bacillota; Bacilli; Caryophanales; Bacillaceae
Description: partial 16S rRNA. Bacterial SSU
Rfam family: Bacterial small subunit ribosomal RNA
Source: RNAcentral